RNAcentral lists this ribosomal RNA (463 nucleotides) under uncultured bacterium. RNAcentral's name for it is "bacterial SSU rRNA". It matches the Rfam family "Bacterial small subunit ribosomal RNA", at positions 30 to 507 of the family's 1533-position model. The record is from RNAcentral.
CGAACGCUGGCGGCACGCCUAACACAUGCAAGUCGAGCGGAGAUUGAGAGCUUGCUCUCAUGAUCAGCGGCGGACGGGUGAGUAACACGUGAGCAACCUGCCUUUCAGAGGGGGGACAACAGUUGGAAACGACUGCUAAUACCGCAUAAUAUUGCCGGCCGGCAUCGGCUGGCAAUCAAAGGAGCAAUCCGCUGAAAGAUGGGCUCGCGUCUGAUUAGAUAGUUGGUGAGGUAACGGCCCACCAAGUCGACGAUCAGUAGGGGUUCUGAGAGGAAGGUCCCCCACAUUGGGACUGAGACACGGCCCAAACUCCUACGGGAGGCAGCAGUGGGGAAUAUUGCACAAUGGGGGAAACCCUGAUGCAGCGACGCCGCGUGAGUGAUGAAGUAUUUCGGUAUGUAAAACUCUAUCAGCAGGGAAGAUAAUGACGGUACCUGACUAAGAAGCACCGGCUAAAUACGUG